UUCCGGAGAGGGAGCCUGAGAAACGGCUACCACAUCCAAGGAAGGCAGCAGGCGCGCAAAUUACCCAAUCCAGACAUUGGGAGGUAGUGACGAGAAAUACUGGGGGUGCUCCAUGCGGGUACCAUCCGGAAUGAACGUAACACAAAAAAUUCGAUGAGGAUCUACUGGAGGGCAAGUCUGGUGCCAGCAGCCGCGGUAAUUCCAGCUCCAGUAGUGUAUAUCAACAUUGUUGCGCUUAAAACGCUCGUAGUUGGAUUACAGAGUCUCAAACAUUUACACGGUCAACAAUAGGCUGGUAGGUGGUCUUUGGCGUGGGCAGUUGGGUAGAAAUAUCGGCUGUCGUGGCUGGACGGGACUCUUUUUUCGCACUGGCCCUAGGCUAACUUCUUUAUUGGGGCAGUCUAGUUGUCGGUGGAGUGUGCCUUGAAUAAAGCAUAGUGCUCAAAGCAGGCGUACGCUCGUGUGUAAUAGCAUGGAACGAAUAUCAAUUGGCCGAGAGUAGGGUGAAGUAUUUGGGCAGUUGAAAUACAAAAUAUUGAUACUGGACUGAAUGCCGUCUAUUUUUGGGCUCGAUCAGUGUUGGUUGGAGCCACGGUCUCAACGGUUAACAGGGACACCUGAGGGCACUAGUACUUUGUGGCGAGAGGUGAAAUUCUUAGACCCACAAAAGACUGACUACUGCGAAAGCAUUUGCCAAGAGUGUUUUCAUUAAUCAAGAACGAAGGUCAGAGGAUCGAAGACGAUCAGAUACCGUCCUAGUUUUGACAGCAAACUAUGCCAGCAUAGGGUUGGAACGGUCGCCGGUUAACAGCCGGUUGAACUUUUUCAGGCCUUAAGGGAAACCUAGCUUUCGGGCUGCUGGGAGAAUAUCGCUGCAAGGCUGAAAUUUAAAGAAAUUGACGGAGAGGCACCACCAGGAGUGGAGCCUGCGGCUUAAUUUGACUCAACACGGGGAAACUCACCAGGUCCAGACAUUGGUAGGAUUGACAGACUGGUAGAUCUUUCAUGAUUCAGUGAAUGGUGGUGCAUGGCCGUUCUUAGUUGGUGGAGUGAUCUGUCAGGUCUAUUCCGGUAACGAGCGAGACCACGGCCUUUAGUUGCGACUCUGCGGUGGUUAUUUUUGUUGGGUAACACUGAUAAAAAUAACAAUACACCGUAGUUGACUAAACUAGAGGGACAAUUGGUGCAUUUCAAAGCCAGGGGAAGCGUGGCAAUAACAGGUCUGUGAUGCCCUUCGAUGUCCUGGGCAGCACGCGCGCUACAAUGGCAGCAGUAGAGAGUUGGGCUGGCCAGAGAUGGCUGGUAAAACUGUAAAUGGCUGUCGUGAUUGGGAUUGAGCCUUGUAAUUUUUGCUCAUGAAAGAGGAAUUCCUCGUAAGCACGAGUCAUCAGCUCGUGUUGAAUACGUCUCUGCCUCUUGUACACACCGCCCGUCGCUACUACCGAUUGAAUUGUUUCUAAAGCUGGCUGGACCGGACUAGUGGCUAUUGUUGC
RNAcentral lists this ribosomal RNA (1493 nucleotides) under Ceratomyxa reidi. RNAcentral describes it as "SSU rRNA". It matches the Rfam family "Eukaryotic small subunit ribosomal RNA", at positions 381 to 1737 of the family's 1831-position model. The record is from RNAcentral. Lineage: Eukaryota; Metazoa; Cnidaria; Myxozoa; Bivalvulida; Ceratomyxidae.